This 277-nucleotide ribosomal RNA is filed under the name uncultured bacterium. RNAcentral's name for it is "partial 16S ribosomal RNA". It matches the Rfam family "Bacterial small subunit ribosomal RNA", at positions 82 to 354 of the family's 1533-position model. The record is from RNAcentral.
CCGUUGCCGGCGACCGGCGCACGGGUGAGUAACACGUAUGCAACCUGCCCGUGGCAGGGGGGAUAAGCGGGGGAAACCCCGUCUAAUACCGCGUAACGCGGCCUAGGGACAUCCCAAGGCCGCCAAAGGGAGCAAUCCCGGCCACGGAUGGGCAUGCGGCGCAUUAGCUAGUCGGCGGGGUAACGGCCCACCGAGGCGACGAUGCGUAGGGGUUCUGAGAGGAAGGCCCCCCACACUGGUACUGAGACACGGACCAGACUCCUACGGAAGGCAGCAG